UUUAAAUAUUAAAAGAGGGAUGGACCAAUGUGAACAGUUGCCUAGUAAUAGUAAUGAAGUAUGCUCUUCUUCUGCAUCCGCGUCCGCUUCCGCAUCAUCACCAUCACCUACUAUACCAAUAACCCAACAUCAAGCCCAAACACCUCCUCAACAUAGUGGUCUUCCACCAUUACCUCCUUUAGAGACUAGAAAAUCAUCA
RNAcentral lists this long non-coding RNA (199 nucleotides) under Prunus persica (peach). RNAcentral describes it as "long non-coding RNA (PPER_LNC000865)". Lineage: Eukaryota; Viridiplantae; Streptophyta; Magnoliopsida; Rosales; Rosaceae. The record is from RNAcentral.